This 501-nucleotide ribosomal RNA is filed under the name uncultured Chloroflexota bacterium. RNAcentral describes it as "bacterial SSU rRNA". It matches the Rfam family "Bacterial small subunit ribosomal RNA", at positions 355 to 855 of the family's 1533-position model. Lineage: Bacteria; Bacillati; Chloroflexota. The record is from RNAcentral.
CAAGGAAUAUUGCCCAAUGGACGGAAGUCUGAGGCAGCAACACCGCGUGGAGGACGAAGGCCUUCGGGUCGUAAACUCCUUUUCUGGGGGAUGAAGUGCCACGAGAGUGGCGUUGACAGUACCCCAGGAAUAAGUCUCGGCUAACUACGUGCCAGCAGCCGCGGUAAAACGUAGGAGGCAAGCGUUAUCCGGAAUUACUGGGCGUAAAGCGCAUGCAGGCGGUUGUCAAAGUCGGACGUGAAAGCUCCUGGCUCAACUAGGAGAGGUCGUUCGAGACUCGGCAGCUAGAGGGUGAUAGAGGCGAGUGGAAUUCCCGGUGUAGUGGUGAAAUGCGUAGAUAUCGGGAGGAACACCAGAGGCGAAGGCGGCUCGCUGGGUCACACCUGACGCUAAGAUGCGAAAGCCAGGGGAGAGAACGGGAUUAGAAACCCCCGGUAUUCCUGGCCGUAAACGAUGUCAACUAGGCGUAGGCGGUUAAUAAUCCGUCUGUGCUGAAGCCAA